GCCAGACUCCUACGGGAGGCAGCAGUGGGGAAUAUUGCACAAUGGGGGAAACCCUGAUGCAGCAACGCCGCGUGGGUGAAGGAGCGUUUCGGCGCGUAAAGCCCUGUCAGCGGGGAAGAAGAAAGACGGUACCCGACCAAGAAGCCCCGGCUAACUACGUGCCAGCAGCCGCGGUAAUACGUAGGGGGCAAGCGUUAUCCGGAUUUACUGGGUGUAAAGGGAGCGUAGACGGCAAUACAAGUCGGAAGUGAAAUACCCGGGCUUAACCUGGGAACUGCUUUGGAAACUGUAUGGCUGGAGUGCUGGAGAGGUAAGCGGAAUUCCUAGUGUAGCGGUGAAAUGCGUAGAUAUUAGGAGGAACACCAGUGGCGAAGGCGGCUUACUGGACUGUAACUGACGUUGAGGCUCGAAAGCGUGGGGAGCAAACAGGAUUAGAUACCCGAGUACGU
Molecule: ribosomal RNA, 449 nt
Filed under: uncultured bacterium
Lineage: Bacteria
Description: bacterial SSU rRNA
Rfam family: Bacterial small subunit ribosomal RNA
Source: RNAcentral